AUUGAACGCUGGCGGCAGGCUUAACACAUGCAAGUCGAGCGAGCGGCGGACGGGUGAGUAAUGUCUGGGAAACUGCUUGAGGGAGGGGGAUAACUACUGGAACCGGUAGCUAAUACCGAAUACCAUGAGAUGUGCCCAGAUGGGAUUAGCGAGUAGGUGGGGUAAUGGCUCACCUAGGCGACGAUCCCUAGCUGGUCUGGGAGGAUGACCCGCCACACUGGAGCUGCGCCACGGUCCAGGCGCCUGCGGGAUGCAGCAGUGGUGAAUAUUGCACAAUGGGCGCAAGCCUUAUGCAGCCAUGCCGCGUGUGUGAAGAAGGCCUUCGGUGUGUAAAGCACUUUCAGCGAUUAGGCGUUACUCGCAGAAGAAGCACCGGCUAACUCCGUGCCAGCAGCCGCGGUAAUAC
This 406-nucleotide ribosomal RNA is filed under the name uncultured bacterium. RNAcentral describes it as "partial 16S ribosomal RNA". It matches the Rfam family "Bacterial small subunit ribosomal RNA", at positions 30 to 526 of the family's 1533-position model. The record is from RNAcentral.